GCAUAUCAAUAAGCGGAGGAAAAGAAACCAACAGGGAUUGCCCUAGUAACGGCGAGUGAAGCGGCAACAGCUCAAAUUUGAAAUCUGGCUCUCGGGCCCGAGUUGUAAUUUGUAGAGGAUGCUUUUGAUGCGGUGCCUUCCGAGUUCCCUGGAACGGGACGCCAUAGAGGGUGAGAGCCCCGUCUGGUUGGAUGCCAAAUCUCUGUAAAGCUCCUUCGACGAGUCGAGUAGUUUGGGAAUGCUGCUCUAAAUGGGAGGUAUAUGUCUUCUAAAGCUAAAUACCGGCCAGAGACCGAUAGCGCACAAGUAGAGUGAUCGAAAGAUGAAAAGCACUUUGAAAAGAGAGUUAAAAAGUACGUGAAAUUGUUGAAAGGGAAGCGUUUAUGACCAGACUUGGGCUUGGAUAAUCAUCUGGGGUUCUCUCCAGUGCACUUUUCCAGUCCAGGCCAGCAUCAGUUUUCGCCGGGGGAUAAAGGCUUCGGGAAUGUGGCUCUCUCCGGGGAGUGUUAUAGCCCGUUGCGUAAUACCCUGGCGGGGACUGAGGUUCGCGCAUCUGCAAGGAUGCUGGCGUAAUGGUCAUCAACGACCCGUCUUGAAACACGGACCAAGGAGUCGUCUUCGUAUGCGAGUGUUCGGGUGUCAAACCCCUACGCGUAAUGAAAGUGAACGCAGGUGAGAGCUUCGGCGCAUCAUCGACCGAUCCUGAUGUUCUCGGAUGGAUUUGAGUAAGAGCAUACGGGGCCGGACCCGAAAGAAGGUGAACUAUGCCUGUGUAGGGUGAAGCCAGAGGAAACUCUGGUGGAGGCUCGCAGCGGUUCUGACGUGCAAAUCGAUCGUCAAACAUGGGCAUGGGGGCGAAAGACUAAUCGAACCUUCUAGUAGCUGGUUUCCGCCGAU
RNAcentral lists this ribosomal RNA (897 nucleotides) under Fusarium incarnatum. Its description in RNAcentral is "LSU rRNA". It matches the Rfam family "Eukaryotic large subunit ribosomal RNA", at positions 38 to 965 of the family's 3401-position model. Lineage: Eukaryota; Fungi; Ascomycota; Sordariomycetes; Hypocreales; Nectriaceae. The record is from RNAcentral.